Molecule: long non-coding RNA, 1649 nt
Filed under: Olea europaea (common olive)
Lineage: Eukaryota; Viridiplantae; Streptophyta; Magnoliopsida; Lamiales; Oleaceae
Description: long non-coding RNA (OEUR_LNC015475)
Source: RNAcentral
UUGUUCUUCAUACAAUAACAAUCCCUAUCUUUCUUCUUCUUAGACAAGUAGGCUGAGCCUCAAAUACUGCAAUCAACAACGCUAAAAAUGCCUAAGAUUCAACACCCCUCAAAGUAGUAUUGGAGCUGCCAUUUCGAACAUCCAGCUUAUAGCCAGCACCAUAGGUGGCAUCAACAACACCAGUCAGUGCCUGGCACGCCAUUGCCAUUCCCUUCUACUCUAUCCACUUUAUGGGGAUGGUGGUUUCCUUUCACUCCUCUAAAACCAGGAGGUCCACAUGCAGUUUGAACAUGCUUUAGAUUUGGAUCUUUCCGAGGUCGGCCAAGUCCCUACUUCACUGGUAGGACUGAAGGAGGCACCAACAUUGUCGCCUUGGAUAACUUGAUUCACUUUCAGAAAUUACCAUUUACAAUAUUGAAGCAAUUCUUUUGGUAGAAACUGGUUUUAGGCACGUGUAAGUAAUGUGCAAGGCACGUGUUGUAACUGUAGUGAAGCAUUCAAUAGUAUUGAUAUUGUGAGUGAUUUGUGUAUGAUAUUAAUAUUUGUAAAAUCUUACUAAAAGAAAAUUUGGGAAUUUAGUAGAAUGAAUUGUAUAGGCUUCAUAGCUAUAAAUACGGGAGGGUAGGUCCAUUUUUUCAGGCACAAAUUAGUGAGAAAAUGGGAGGGAGAGGCACCCUCUGGGAAACUGACCAAACAUAUACACAAAACCACAAAAAUACAGCAAUUGCAAUCUGAUUAUUAUCAGAUAAUUAAAGCCUUUACCUUUGAAGAGUGUAUAAGAGAUCACGUAGAGAUUAUUAUACACAACAAAGCUUGAUUAGAGUGAGAGUAAUUUUAAGAAGGUACAGGGAAAGAGUGAGAACUAAUGGCAAGAGUUUCCAGAGGAUAGAAGGGCAUUAAAGAUAUUUUCACAAUUAUGAAUAAAGUUAACGAUGCAAUUGCUACAUGUCAAACUUUGAGUGAUUAAGUGACGAGGGCGUAAACAAACUAAUGAUAUUUUCUCAAUUAUGAGCAAAGUUAAGGAUGCUACUGCUAUAUGACAAAAUAUCUGUGGUAAAGUGACCAGAAAGUUAACAGGAAUUAAACUAAGAAUAUGAUAUCACUUUUUUUCUCAAUUAUGGGCGAAGUUAAUGGCGCUCUAUCUUCUUCUUAGAUAAAUAGGCGAAGACUCAAAUGCUGAAAUCACCAAUGCUAAAAAAGCCUAAAUAUCAAUCAACAUGCAGCAAAAAAUUCUAACUAAAAAUGCCAAAAUUUUUCAUCAACAUUUGAUGAUCUCCCCAGAAACUGCACCAAGAAAUGGUAGUAUAUCUUAUUAACAGGAAAAAGGAAUACCUCACAAGAACAAAGCACUGAUUUUUUACAAUAUUGAAGAAAUUCUUUUAGUAGAAAAAAGCAAUAAAAUAAACAUGUGAAAAGGAUAAAAUUGCAUAUAAGAUGAAGCUGAAGAGAAAUUAAUAACCAAUUAAAAAUGAGAGGUGAGAAUUAUUUCAAGACUUUACCUUGCGAAGAGUAUACUAGAUUGGACAGAAAUAUUAUUUUGAUAAAGCUUAAGUAGAGGGAGAGAGUAAAUUUAAGAAACUUGGAAUAGAGGGCUACAGAGUGUAGAUAGAUAGAGAGAGAGAGAGAGAGAGAGAGAGAGAGAGAGAGAG